GACGAACGCUGGCGGCGUGCUUAACACAUGCAAGUCGAACGGAAAGGCCCUGCUUUUGUGGGGUGCUCGAGUGGCGAACGGGUGAGUAACACGUGAGUAACCUGCCCUUGACUUUGGGAUAACUUCAGGAAACUGGGGCUAAUACCGGAUAGGAGCUCCUGCUGCAUGGUGGGGGUUGGAAAGUUUCGGCGGUUGGGAUGGACUCGCGGCUUAUCAGCUUGUUGGUGGGGUAGUGGCUUACCAAGGCUUUGACGGGUAGCCGGCCUGAGAGGGUGACCGGCCACAUGGGGACUGAGAUACGGCCCAGACUCCUACGGGAGGCAGCAGUGGGGAAUAUUGCACAAUGGGCGGAAGCCUGAUGCAGCAACGCCGCGUGCGGGAUGACGGCCUUCGGGUUGUAAACCGCUUUCGCCUGUGACGAAGCGUGAGUGACGGUAAUGGGUAAAGAAGCACCGGCUAACUACGUG
Molecule: ribosomal RNA, 467 nt
Filed under: uncultured bacterium
Lineage: Bacteria
Description: partial 16S ribosomal RNA
Rfam family: Bacterial small subunit ribosomal RNA
Source: RNAcentral